RNAcentral lists this ribosomal RNA (478 nucleotides) under uncultured bacterium. Its description in RNAcentral is "partial 16S ribosomal RNA". It matches the Rfam family "Bacterial small subunit ribosomal RNA", at positions 28 to 523 of the family's 1533-position model. The record is from RNAcentral.
GAUGAACGCUGACAGAAUGCUUAACACAUGCGAGUCUACCAAGAAUCACUUCGGUGAGGAAUGGUGGCGGACGGGUGAGUAACGCGUAAAUAAUCUGCCCUUUAGACUGGGAUAUCCUUUGGAAACGAAGGUUAAUACCGGAUAUUAUGAGAUGGACGCAUGUUCAACUUAUGAAAGCUAAAUGCACUAGAGGAGGAGUUUGCGUCCCAUUAGCUAGUUGGUGAGGUAAAGGCGCACCAAGGCCACGAUGGGUAGCCGGCCUGAGAGGGUGAACAGCCACAAGGGAACUGAGACACGGUCCUUACUCCUACGGGAGGCAGCAGUGGGGAAUAUUGGACAAUGGACCAAAAGUCUGAUCCAGCAAUUCUGUGUGCACGAUGAAGGUCUUCGGAUUGUAAAGUGCUUUCAGUAGGGAAGAAAAAAAUGACGGUACCUACAGAAGAAGCGACGGCUAAACAUGUGCCAGCCGCCGCCGUAA